This 490-nucleotide ribosomal RNA is filed under the name uncultured bacterium. Its description in RNAcentral is "partial 16S ribosomal RNA". It matches the Rfam family "Bacterial small subunit ribosomal RNA", at positions 29 to 507 of the family's 1533-position model. The record is from RNAcentral.
AUUGAACGCUGGCGGCAGGCCUAACACAUGCAAGUCGAACGGUAACAGGAAGCAGCUUGCUGCUUCGCUGACGAGGGGCGGACGGGUGAGUAAUGUCUGGGAAACUGCCUGAUGGAGGGGGAAAACUACGGGAAACGGUAGCUAAUACCGCAUAACGUCGCAAGACCAAAGAGGGGGACCUUAGGGCCUCUUGCCAUCGGAUGUGCCCAGAUGGGAUUAGCUAGUAGGUGGGGGAACGGCUCACCUAGGCGACGAUCCCUAGCGGGUCUGAGAGGAUGACCGGCCACACUGGAACUGAGACACGGUCCAGACUCCUACGGGAGGCAGCAGUGGGGAAUCUUGCACAAUGGGCGCAAGCCUGAUGCAGCCAUGCCGCGUGUAUGAAGAAGGCCUUCGGGUUGUAAAGUACUUUCAGCGGGGAGGAAGGGAGUAAAGUUAAUCCCUUCGCUCAUUGACGUUACCCGCAGAAGAAGCCCCGGCUAACUCCGUG